Long non-coding RNA from Apis cerana (Asiatic honeybee), 1388 nucleotides. RefSeq lists it as uncharacterized. The record is from RefSeq and is a predicted model, not a curated record. Lineage: Eukaryota; Metazoa; Arthropoda; Insecta; Hymenoptera; Apidae.
AUAAUCUUGUUGGAAAGAAGAGAAAUUUUCGACGCUUCGUGCGCCGAAUGAAUUCUUUAUAUAUUACGAUUCGAUGCACCCAUAGCACGGUGAUCGUAUAUGAAAUCAUAUCGAUAGUGUGAUUAAGUUAUUCUCAACGUGAAGAGUUGAGAAAAUGAAAAGGGUAUUAUCGUCUUGAAAUUUACGUCAUUACUCUUCCUCGUAACGAAAAUUGUUUCGAAUAAAAGUUGAAUGGUUUCAAAGAGGAGAGUAAAUGCGAUGUAAUUAUUUUUCAGCCGGGAGAACACGUGGAGGUUACAUGAAAGUCAACUUUGUUUCUUUUUUUUUUUUUUUUUUUGAAUGGGCAUAUUCUUUUUAACACAGAUACAUCGACACAAAUUCUUGAAACCAUUCACCUUUUAUCGAAAAUAUUUUUUAAUAUUAUGAAAAACAAGCGAGACACCCGGUAUAUUUCUUAAUUUUUUUAAUAAGUAUAAAACAGGUAAAUAUUAUUAAUAUAUAUAUAUAUAUAAUUAGAAUUAAGUAAAAUGAUGAAAAAAUGCUUAUUUCCUUAAAAAAAUGAGAUUAAAGAGGUAAAGGUAAGUUAUUAUAUAUUAAAUGCAUCUUCUUUGAAAUUAUAUUCUUCUGACAGAAGAUCCCGAAAUUCGAUCGAAAAUGCUGAAGCGAAAAAAUUUCAAAUUUCGAAAAAAAAUUCUUGGAAUCGGAAUUCCUAGAAAAAUUUCUCGAGCGACCUCCUGUCAAUUUAUAUUCUCCUGAUACGAAGUUAAAAAAUUUCAGCGCGGCCAAAUUUUCGACUUUGUAUCAGGAGAGUAUAAGUUGAAAGGAGAUCGAUCGAGAAAUUUUUCCAAGAAUUCUAGAAAUAACAAUUUUUUAUCAAAUUUUUAUAUAUUUACCUAUAUUUUCCUUGGGAUAUUUAUCUUUCCUGUAUUUCUUUUAUACUAACCUCUUUCAAUUACUAUUUUUAAUUUUUUUCAAUAUUUUAUUUAAUUCUAUUUUAUAGAAAAUUUACUUGUUAAAAUAUUCAAUUACUUCUAAGAAUAUUUAAAACAUAUCUUCUGUAUCUCUUAAUUAUGUCUCAGUUGUUUUACCUUUGAUAUUUCUAUCGCUUUGUACGUACAUUCUUAAAUUAUCUAUUAACGCAUAUUGUUACUACUGAAUAAGAAACUUUUCAUGAUGUAAGUCAAGGAAGCUUUUACUUAACAUUGAAAUAUGAUCAUCUUUUUCUAUAUCGUAUGUACAUUAUUUUAAUACGUCAUUUGCUAUUCUUAUAGAUUGCGGAAAUGUAGAAAAUUAAUUUUUUUGAAUGAUGAUCCUUCAACAGUUAUAAACUAAUUCAAAAUAUUUCUAAAACUUGGCAAAUAAUCAAAAAAAAAAAAUUGAUGAAUAGC